UACGUAGGCAGCAAGCGUUGUUCGGAGUUACUGGGCGUAAAGGGUGUGUAGGCGGCUUCGUAAGUUCGGUGUGAAAUCUCCCGGCUCAACUGGGAGGGUGCGCCGGAAACUGCGGAGCUGGAGCGCAGGAGAGGAAAGCAGAAUUCCUGGUGUAGCGGUGAAAUGCGUAGAUAUCAGGAGGAAUACCGGUGGUGAAGGCGGCUUUCUGGACUGCUGCUGACGCUGAUACACGAAAGCGUGGGGAGCAAACAGG
Molecule: ribosomal RNA, 253 nt
Filed under: uncultured bacterium
Lineage: Bacteria
Description: partial 16S ribosomal RNA
Rfam family: Bacterial small subunit ribosomal RNA
Source: RNAcentral